This 252-nucleotide ribosomal RNA is filed under the name uncultured bacterium. Its description in RNAcentral is "partial 16S ribosomal RNA". It matches the Rfam family "Bacterial small subunit ribosomal RNA", at positions 524 to 776 of the family's 1533-position model. The record is from RNAcentral.
UACGGAGGGGCGAGCGUUGUUCGGAAUUACUGGGCGUAAAGGGCGUGUAGGCGGACUGUUAAGUUAGGGGUGAAAUCCCAGGGCUCAACCCUGGAACUGCCUCUAAUACUGGCGGUCUUGAGAUUUGGAGAGGUGUGUGGAAUUCCUAGUGUAGAGGUGAAAUUCGUAGAUAUUAGGAAGAACACCAGUGGCGAAGGCGGCACACUGGCCAACAUCUGACGCUGAGGCGCGAAAGCGUGGGGAGCAAACAGG